This 328-nucleotide ribosomal RNA is filed under the name uncultured eukaryote. RNAcentral's name for it is "partial 18S ribosomal RNA". It matches the Rfam family "Eukaryotic small subunit ribosomal RNA", at positions 1470 to 1796 of the family's 1831-position model. The record is from RNAcentral.
CCCUUAGAUGUCCUGGGCCGCACGCGCGUUACACUGAUGCAUUCAACGAGCUUAUAACCUUGGCCGAGAGGCCUGGGCAAUCUUGUUAACGUGCAUCGUGAUAGGGAUAGAUUAUUGAAAUUAUUAAUCUUGAACGAGGAAUUCCUAGUAAACGCAGAUCAUCAAUCUGCAUUGAUUACGUUCCUGCCCUUUGUACACACCGCCCGUCGCACCUACCGAUUGGAUGGUCCGGUGAAGCCUCGGGAUUGUGGUUCUUGCCGCUUUAUUGUGGCGUGACCGCGAGAACUUGUCUAAACCUUAUCAUCUAGAGGAAGGUGAAGUCGUAACA